ACAAGCGGCGGAGCAUGCGGAUUAAUUCGAUGCAACGCGAAGAACCUUACCAAGGCUUGACAUACACCGGUAACGCCCAGAGAUGGGUGCCCCUUUGUGGUCGGUGGACAGGUGGUGCAUGGUUGUCGUCAGCUCGUGUCGUGAGAUGUUGGGUUAAGUCCCGCAACGAGCGCAACCCUCGUCCUAUGUUGCCAGCGGGUCAUGCCGGGGACUCAUGGGAGACUGCCGGGGUCAACUCGGAGGAAGUGGGAUGACGUCAAAUCAUCAUGCCCCUUAUGUCUUGGGCUUCACGCAUGCUACAAUGGCCGGUACAAAGGGCUGCGAUACCGCGAGGUGGAGCGAAUCCCAGAAAGCCGGUCUCAGUUCGGAUUGGGGUCUGCAACUCGACCCCAUGAAGUCGGAGUCGCUAGUAAUCGCAGAUCAGCAUGCUGCGGUGAAUACGUUCCCGGGUCUU
This 454-nucleotide ribosomal RNA is filed under the name uncultured Cellulomonas sp. RNAcentral's name for it is "bacterial SSU rRNA". It matches the Rfam family "Bacterial small subunit ribosomal RNA", at positions 925 to 1382 of the family's 1533-position model. Lineage: Bacteria; Bacillati; Actinomycetota; Actinomycetes; Micrococcales; Cellulomonadaceae. The record is from RNAcentral.